This 4850-nucleotide long non-coding RNA is filed under the name Sus scrofa (pig). RNAcentral describes it as "lncRNA (ENSSSCG00000056897.1)". The record is from RNAcentral. Lineage: Eukaryota; Metazoa; Chordata; Mammalia; Artiodactyla; Suidae.
CUUCUCGGUGGCCUAGAAAAUAUAGCAAAAAAAAAAAAAAAAAAAAGCCCUAUGUUUGUGUUUUAUGCCCAAGGAAGAACCUUUAGGGUUAGGGUUAUAAUUUCUGGGUGGAAUAUUUAGCAUAAUUACAUUCAUAUUCAAUAGGGAAUCUUUUAGAAAAUCACUGCUUGGAAUGCUGUUCUAUAAAUGUUCUAUCGUGAGCCAAAUUAAACAUGUUAUAUGCCAAGUUCUCAGUCUAAGGAAAAACGUUACCAUCUGCUGUAAUUAUAUAGAAUGAGAAAGAUAGUGAAUGUAUUCCCAUUUAUUGAACACAAAAGAGACACUUUUAAAACAAAUUGUUGGGCCGUGUUCAGUUUGUGAUGUUUUCACUCAAGCAGAGUAAUGUCUACAUUUACUCAGUGUUAUGGAUUAGGUUGUUAAGUAUACUCACAUUUUACUCAAACCUUGCAAAUAUUCCUUGGCCAGAAGGAGAGUGCAAUGAAACAUGAUUCUGUCUGUAAUCAGUUAAAAAUAUCCAAACUGACAAUUUGCUUGGGUGACAGUUUACUUGGGAUUUAAAUCUCUCUCUAAUGAGGUAUAAGAGUAGUUUCACUCAAAUUUUACAGUUAAGGGAAUUUCUACUUAAGUUAGAAAUACACAUUUCCCCCAACAUUUCUUAAGUUCUGAAUUAGGAGUAAUACCAUUUUUGUAAAUUCUUCCUAAAUUUCUUUGAUCGAAAGAAAUAAAAUAUGAUCAGUUCGAAUACUCCUUAUCUGUGAACAAGAGUUAUAUUUAUAAGAUGGAUGCAAAUUAUCCAGACUUUACUAAACAGCAAAGAAAAUGAUGCACAUCAUCCCUGAAGUAGGCCUCUUAUUUACACACUUUCUGUAUCAAAAUGAAGUAUGGAUCCUGGCAAAUCCACUAUACUUUAUUCUCAAAGCCACUGGGCAUUUUUCACAGCAAUCUUGGCUGCCUUCUGUAAAUUGUUUUUUUCCUACAACAUACAUUUCUCUCUUUCAUACUCCAAAAUACAUUAUUUAUGUGUAUGCCUAAUUCUGUUAUUGGGAAAAGUAAGUUAAUUUUUAGAGUUAUUGAUUUUACUUUGUCCAACAUAUGUUGUUCUUUCCUUUCUGUGACUAAAACAAAAGAUAUAUGAAAGAAACCAAAAAAAUCAAUAUUUCUCUGAUAACUGUGUUACUUAAAAAUCACAUUUGGUUCAGAGAAAUGCAGGAUAUGAGGUAACAUUACGUGUGAACCAAAUGUUCUAAGCUCCUUCCUCCAAGCAUCUUUCCAUAACCACCCUCACCUGCUUCUCUCUAUUAAGUACCACACCUGUGUACUUCAAUAAUAUACUAUAUUACAUUUACUCCAUUUAUUAUAAUUAUUAGUGUGCAUGCUGUCUCUGUCAUAUUGCUAGCUUAUUAAGGACAUUAGAUUGUAUUGUUUAUGUUAACAUAUGCUUUCCUAAGUGUAAAAGAAUAUAUUGCUCAUUGUAUUAGGGUAAACUUUAACAUUAAGGAACAAAGUGGUAAAUUGUUCUAGAUUCUUCUUUAGAUUGGCUUAUGCUGUUUUUCUGCAUGAAGUCAGUUUAAAAGAAGUUCUCCCCUUUAUCUUAGUGUGGCAGACUCUGGAAGAACCGCAGAGGAUUAGAGGGAAAAAUGAAACAUACAUAGAUCUAAUCUAUGCCCAGGAAUAAGUCAAAAGGCUAACAGUAAUAUUAAUAAUAUAAGCUUCUAUUUAUUGGGUAACUACCAUGAUCCAAACACCUAUGACACCUGUUAUAAGUGAUAUUAAUGACAACCUUCUUAAAUAAGUAAUUGAUUUUAGGUUGAAAACACACCCUCACAACUCCUUUUAUAUUCCGCUGCAGCAGAAGGAGGAACUUACUUGCUUCUUUGUCAUUGGGACCUACUACACUCCUCCUUGCAAAAAACCUGAGUUCCCAAUUUCUCUGUGAAGUCUAUAGUUUGGGCAGAAGGGAAUACGUUUAAUUCAGGGGAAAUGUUAGCAUCUGGUGCAUUGAGCUUAAGACUUUGAAAAAUCUCCUAGGAAAGGCAUUUGAUAGGAGAGUAAGAAUGGAAACUUCUGGUGGGGUCUUGAUCCAGCAAGCUUAAGUUUUCAUGAUGGUUUAGUGAAAUAGAGACUGUAAAUUUCUCACUUUGGUGGUUUGUGUGGCCAGUCCUGUGCUGUACUGCCCAUUUUUAGAACUGAGCUGUUGUUCAGACUCGAUGGGUAACUCUAACAAAUGAAACCUUGUCCAUGGAGUGAGAGGUUAUUUUUUUAAUAAGGUCAUUGACUAUUUUUAUAAGACAUUAGGUUUAAUGGAAACAUAAAUUUCAUCAAAAGUGUUGGUUUGUGACUUGCUGCAACUUGACUUUGAACUGCUUAAGUAGUUAUUAAAAUAUAUAUAUAUGUGUGUGUGUGUGUACACAUAUGUUGGUACUAUACAUGUAAGUGCUCAGAUUUUUUAACAGGAAGGAAAGUCUGAGGAAACAGAAUAUUAUGGGAAAAUAAAGAGACUCCACAUUUGGAAUCUUUAGACAUCAAGAAAUACGACAAUUAUGUGCUGUGUUAAUUGUGCUGUGCUUCUAAGCCCAAAUACAGGUAGGUAGAGUGAAUGAUUUGUCUAUCCUAGAGCACUGGUUUGUGAGGUUCUGAAUUUUAGGUAGUAAAUAGUGCUAGAGAAGCUCAAUGAAAUGCCAUUUUUUAUUUGUGACCAAAGAAGAGCAAUUUGAGGGGCUAUCCUUAUAUUUAAGUAGUUUAUCCAUAGUCACAAGAGACCUCCAUCCUCUCCCCAUAUGGCCAAUUUGGCUUUGGUUGUUCAGUUGAAUGGAUUUGGACCUGUGUCCAUAGAUGUGGAAUUAGAGACCUAAUAGAUAUGGAAUUAGAGACCUAAAUUAUACAGUCUUUGAAAGCACAUAACAAAACUGGUCAUCAUGGUACACUAAGGACGCCACUAUAAAAGAAUUAAUAACAGCUUCAUUUCAGAAAUGUGCUGAAGAAUAUUCUCCAGCUGAUACAUUCUCCUGCAUAUAAGGCAUGUUUUACAUGCCUAAGAAAUUACAUACCAGAAGGAAGAAUAUAUGAAAAGAUCUAUUCAAAAGAAUGUAAAUGCUAUGUUAAUAGAUUGACCUAAACUCAUUUCAGCUCUGGAAUUUCAGAAAUAUGGAGAGUAGAGGAGACAUGAAUGUCCACAUAUUAAUUGAUUUAAAUAAGCCAUAUGAAAAAGAAGGUCACAUCAAAUAAGACAUGGUAUUUGACAACUGCUAUACUUCCAAUCUGUAAAAUUUGCCAGAAGUCUACCAUUGCUCAAGCAACACUGUCUGAAUUCUCUAGUUAUGGUAAUUACAUAAUGAAAAAAUUAAUAUUUUGAUGGAAGAGCCCUUCAACUGUAUUAAAGGAUGUUUUUCAUGGGCCCUAGAUAACUAGUGUUGAUUGACCAAAGGAGAUCUGUUUUCUUUCCUACCUGUAGGAGAGAGAGUGUGUUGUUUCUCCUUUUUUUAUUGGAUGAAAAGAAAGCCACAAGAGAAGUACUCAUAAAUUUGAGGAAUAUUUCUAAACAUUAAUUGUUUUUAAUUUUUGUUUGUGUUUUUAAUUUUUAAUAAUUGUUUUUGUUUUUAAUUUUUCUUCCAAAUUUAGUCAUCUGCUUAUUCAUUAGCCUGUGGAGCUGACCCUGUAUUACUGGAGCAAGGAAGAAGGGCAUUUUAGAGAUAUGAUAUGGCAAAGUAUUCCCAAGGAGGUGGGAGAGCAACACCUCUAGAUUCCAAUGCAUGAAGCCAUUUUCUUAUUUUUUUUAUCCUUAUUUUGACCAAUAUUGAAGAAAUGUAUAAAGAUCAAGAGACAGUGAAAAAAUUUAUGUGAAAGAGCCACAAACCAUCUGCUUCUCUUUAAGCAACCCAUGCUUCAAUUGCAAAGCACUGGAGAAAUUUUUUAAAAAAUGCCUACUAUCCAAAGCCAUCUAUAGAAUUUAGGCCUCAAAAUUCCAAUGGCAUUCUUCACAGAGAUAGAAAAAGCAAUCCUAAAAUUUGUAUGGAAUCAUGAAAAUUUUGAAUAGCCAAAGCAAUCCUGAGAAAGGAAAGCAAAGCUAGAGGAAUAACAUUUCCCUAUUUCAUAGGAAUAACGUUUUCCUAUGGUAAUCUAUAGUCACUAAAACGCUAUGGUACCAGCAUAAAAAUAGAUACAUUUCCCAGUGAAAUAAAAUAGAGAGCCCAGAAUUUAUUCCCUACAGAUAUGGUCACGUACUAUUUGACAAAGGAGAUAAGAACAUCCAUGAGGAAAGUGUAGCCCUUUCAAUAAAUGAUGCUAGGAAAACUGGAUAAACACAUAUAGGAAAUGAAAUUAUACCCUCAACUUAUACUGCUCACAAAUAUUAACUUGAAAUGCAUUAAAGGCUUAAACAUAAAAUUUCGUGCCAGAAUAUGCCUAGAAGGAAAGAUAGGGAAGAAUCUCCUCAACAUUGAUUUGGCAAAGAUUUUUCUGUAUAUGACACCAAAAACACAACAAAGGAAGAAAACAAAUAUGAUUACAUCAAACUUAAAAGAUUUUGCAUACCCAAAGAAACAAUAAACAAUGAAAAUUCAGCCUACAGAAAGGAAAAAUUUUAUAAACCAUAUACCUGAUGUGAGGUUAAUAUUUAGAAUUUACAGACUCAUCUAAUUUAAUAAUAAAAUAACAAAUCCAGUUAAAAUGGGUAGAUAAACUUUGGAUGUCCAAGGAAGACAUCCAAAAGGCCAAUAGCUACAUGAAAAGGUGCUUAACAUGACUAUUCAUCAGGGAAAUGCAAAUCAAAAUCACAAUGAGGUAUUACUUCCCACUUGUUAUAUAAUAGGUUUCAUCAAAAGAUCAAAGAUAAAAAAUAUUGGUGAGGAUGG